RNAcentral lists this ribosomal RNA (425 nucleotides) under uncultured bacterium. RNAcentral's name for it is "partial 16S ribosomal RNA". It matches the Rfam family "Bacterial small subunit ribosomal RNA", at positions 354 to 796 of the family's 1533-position model. The record is from RNAcentral.
GUGGGGAAUAUUGGGCAAUGGGGGAAACCCUGACCCAGCAACGCCGCGUGAAGGAAGAAGGUUUUCGGAUCGUAAACUUCUAUCCUUGGUGAAGAUAAUGACGGUAGCCAAGAAGGAAGCCCCGGCUAACUACGUGCCAGCAGCCGCGGUAAUACGUAGGGGGCAAGCGUUGUCCGGAAUGAUUGGGCGUAAAGGGCGCGUAGGCGGCCUGGUAAGUCUGGAGUGAAAGUCCUGCUUUUAAGGUGGGAAUUGCUUUGGAUACUGUCGGGCUUGAGUGCAGGAGAGGUAAGUGGAAUUCCCGGUGUAGCGGUGAAAUGCGUAGAGAUCGGGAGGAACACCAGUGGCGAAGGCGACUUACUGGACUGUAACUGACGCUGAGGCGCGAAAGUGUGGGGAGCAAACAGGAUUAGAUACCCCAGUAGUCC